UACUUUAGUUUUUACUACAGCAAACUGUAGUGUAUUGUAGUAUAAUAUACCCUAUAGUUGUAGAAAACUUAGUACAGUAUUGGGUCAUUUGUUUAUAUUACUAUAAUUGUAGCAACUAUAGAAUGGUUAGUAUUUGUUUUUCUGUCAAUUCCUUAUAUUUUAUACAGAUUCUUACAGCUUCAGGAUAAUGUAUGUUAGUUUUACACUUUCUUUUACAUCAACUCUGUAAGCUACAGAGUUUAUAUCUAAAUUAAACAGUUGUAGCUAUAGUGCUGCUUUGAGGCAACUUCAAAGUGCACACUAUUCAGGACAGACCCCCUCCCACAGCCCACCUCAGCAAUCCAUGACAGGGCAAGAACUGCUCUCUCCGUCUGCACUGAGUCAUUCUGUAUUUGUGUUACAGCUGAGGAAGAACAGCACCACUUAGGACAAAAGUUUUUCAGAAAUGUUGGAGGAGGGGACAGAUUGACUGGGGAUGUUUGCUACAACGCUGCAUUGCCCUGGGCUGUGUGGGGCGGAGGAGAGCAGGGAGGGGAGGAUGGGGUCAUAACAUCCCCCUCCUCUCAGCCAGAGGUGGAUGUUUUUCUAAAGGACUUUUUUUUUUCACCACACUUUAUUAGUGCAUUUAACAUGAGCACUCUAGGCGAGAUGUGCUUCUAUUCUGAGUUUAUUAAUUCAGUCAUUUAAAAAAAUAUUUUGUUUACAUGCAAGGAAGAGUUUAACAAAAUUUGUGGUACAGAGUAAUCUCCCCCCCCAGGGUGUUAGAGAGACAAAACUGAAGGUUGACGGGAAUGGUGGAGAUUACAUUUCAAAGUGUUUCCAACUAACUUUAAUGAUACGGAUUGUAUCUUAAGAGUUUGGAUGAUAAGAAAGUUAUUUUAACUUAUACAAAGUUCAGUUAUUAUGUCAUAAUUGCUUAUUUUAAUUUGUAAUGUGUUUGUCACAGAUCAUGCAAAUGAAUUGCAGUGUCUGUGUCCAUUCAGAGUGUGUGUGCAGUGUGGGCUGUUGGCCUGUAGAGGGAGCACUUCAUACAGACUCCUGUAGGCUACAUCUCUUUUGUUGGUUCUCUCCUGUUGUUUGAGAAAUGGAGAGAGUUUGAGAUGGUAGUAAGAGGGGGAGAAUGGUUUGUGUAACGGGGUUGAGGGGUUACUGAGGUACGGAGCUAAAUACUGAGAGUUGGAGCAAAGGACCAAAGGAAGCUGGAAACAGGACACUGGAGCAGAGAAAUAAAAAGCCCGGGAUGUGAUCGGAUUCCCGCAGUCGAGGUGUUCUUUAGACCUGACCUCCGAACAGGUGUCAUGGUCAUGCUGAGGACGGUGCUGAAAUGAGAUAUUAGCGAGCCCUUCACUCAACGUGGUCAAAAUCAAUGAUCUUUGUGAGCUGCGGCCAGCACGGGAACAGUGGAGGCCAUUCUCUGUGUGAGAACUGCCCUCCGUCCAUCUGUCUCCAUUCUGGAGCCGACCCCCUCUGCACAGAACCUCUCCUGUGUGGUCACAACUGGACUAGAGUUACACGGCCCAUGUGUCCAGUGCCGGGCCGGACAACAAACAAGGCCGAAAGUGAGGCCACUCUUCCCUGUCUCACAUGAGAAGUCACUUCACAGAGGAAGAGUACUGUUUCUGCUUCUACAUACAUUCUUGAGCAAAAUCUUGGACACAAAUGCUGGAAAGAAAAUGCAUUUUUUCACUUGUUUGUGUUAUAUACGCAUUGUUUCGUGUUCUGGUUUCUCUGAAACAUAGCAUGUGGUUUAAGUUAAUGUUUUGUGUACUGUGUAAUAAAGUUAAAAACAUUUUUGAAUUGUUUGUUCCAGUGUAAUGCAAUACCGUACAGUACAUUUCUGAAUUACUGUAAGAAGUGCAUGAUCAUAACCAGCGGAAAAGGCUGAGCCUAUAUUAAACGCUAUAUGAUCACGAUUGUGAAAUCAUUAGUUGAAACUAGAUUACAACAUUGUUUAAGAUGUUAUUGGAGUGUUUUGAAUGGUUACUAUGUGGUUGCUCACUGGUCAAAAGAGUCUUGGUUCAAGGGUCAGAAAUGAAUGGGGGCUCGAUGCAGAAAUGCCCCCAAAAAUAUUAAAUGUGAAACAGAAAUCUUUCACAUUCAGAGAAAGCAGCUUACUUCCGCAUUGCAAAAUAAGGUGGAUAGUCACAGGCCAGUUAUUCUUAUUAUGGCAUUAGAUUUAUUUUAAUGUUGAUUUCUCCCUCCUUCAAGGUUACACUAUACAGUAUACUAUUUUUUUUGCUUGGGUUAUUGUCCAGCAGGAAAAAACUUAACCCAGAUCACUAGAAAAGUAAUUGCAUAUCCUCCACAAGCCACAUAAUUUGAGGUAUCAUUAUUAUUUGUGGCAUAAAAUGGCAUAUGUUUAAUACUUAUAAUACAAAUCCCUAACCUUAAAGGGUUAGUUCACCCAAAAAUGAGCUCUGCUUCAGUAUUUAUGAGUAUUUAUGUACUGUACAAGGCAACAGAAAGUAUUUGCCCACCUAAUGUCAUUGCAUAAGAAAGUAACCAAGUGGCCUUUUUAAACAAAUUAUGCUAUUUUUAGCAGAUGAAGUCAGUUCCCACAGUUUACACAGGUGUCCUAACAGAAUAACCACAGAUGUAGUUCAUUAUGGUCAUUUAAAAGGUUAGUUCACCCAAAAAUGAAAUUUCUGUCAUUAAUUACUCACCCCAAUGUUGUUCCAAAUCUGUAAGACUUUCUUCGGAACACAAAAUAAGAUAUUUUUGAUGAAAUCUGAGAGCUUUCUGCACUGUUAACCUGAAUAAAUUUGCAAAACUUGUUGUAUCAGUUACAAGUUUAAGUAAGCAGAACUGGCACAUACAUUAUUUUUGUACUCAUACAUUUUAAUUGCUCUUAACUUGAAAUAUUUGAGUAAGCCAAUUCAUAUAUUUAACUUGGAAUGUCAUGUAAUUUCCACUUAAAUAUUUUUAGUAAUGGAAACUUGGCUAGCUUUAACUAGCUAAUUCAGUGCAUGCUAACUUGCUCAUUGGUAACAGUGUUUUAAUAGCAUUUAAUAAAAUAGCAAUUGCUAAAUAAGUACAGCAAUAUAUAACAUAUAACUGUUCUUAAACCAUGCUCAUGCUUCACAUGUCAUAAUGAUGGUAACCCCCCAAAAAACCCAACAUAACAGGAACUCUUCUAAAUUAGCAUAGCAAAACAUUAAACACUACUAAAUCUCCCAUUUAGCAUUAAUCUUGCAAAAAAACAAAAAAAAAAACAAACAAAAAAAAACAUUAUAUAACAGUAAAUUUUAGCAUUUACUCUCCCUUUCAAAUGUCAUGGCAAAGCAUGCUGGAGAAUAGAAAUCCCAUCCCAG
Molecule: long non-coding RNA, 3311 nt
Organism: Megalobrama amblycephala (Wuchang bream)
Lineage: Eukaryota; Metazoa; Chordata; Actinopteri; Cypriniformes; Xenocyprididae
Exons: 4
Source: RefSeq, a predicted model, not a curated record